CUGCCUACGGGGCGCAGCAGUGAGGAAUAUUGGUCAAUGGGCGCGAGCCUGAACCAGCCAAGUCGCGUGAGGGAAGACGGUCCUAUGGAUUGUAAACCUCUUUUGUCGGGGAGCAAAAGACGCCACGCGUGGCGUUCCGAGAGUACCCGAAGAAAAAGCAUCGGCUAACUCCGUGCCAGCAGCCGCGGUAAUACGGAGGAUGCGAGCGUUAUCCGGAUUUAUUGGGUUUAAAGGGUGCGUAGGCGGUUUUUUAAGUUAGUGGUUAAACGUCGGGGCUUCACCUUGAUUUGCCACUAAUACUGUAA
This 305-nucleotide ribosomal RNA is filed under the name uncultured bacterium. RNAcentral describes it as "bacterial SSU rRNA". It matches the Rfam family "Bacterial small subunit ribosomal RNA", at positions 335 to 638 of the family's 1533-position model. The record is from RNAcentral.